UUGAACGCUGGCGGCAUGCCUUACACAUGCAAGUCGAGCGCGAAAGGGGGCAACCCCGAGUAGAGCGGCGGACGGGUGAGUAACGCAUCGGAACGUGCCCAGUAGUGGGGGACAACCUCGAGAAAUCGAGGCUAAUACCGCAUACGACCCACGGGUGAAAGCGGGGGACCGCAAGGCCUCGCGCUAUUGGAGCGGCCGAUGUCCGAUUAGCUAGUUGGCGGGGUAAGAGCCCACCAAGGCGACGAUCGGUAGCUGGUCUGAGAGGACGACCAGCCACACUGGGACUGAGACACGGCCCAGACUCCUACGGGAGGCAGCAGUGGGGAAUUUUGGACAAUGGGGCAACCCUGAUCCAGCCAUGCCGCGUGCGGG
RNAcentral lists this ribosomal RNA (372 nucleotides) under uncultured bacterium. RNAcentral describes it as "bacterial SSU rRNA". It matches the Rfam family "Bacterial small subunit ribosomal RNA", at positions 29 to 407 of the family's 1533-position model. The record is from RNAcentral.